GUGAAGCCUCUCACCUCCCAACUCAUAAUCUCUAGCUCUUCUGAUCUUGUUCAGAAAUAGGAAAAUGGCGGGUCUAUUUGACAAGCAGGCAGAGAUAUAUGUGGAAGCUCGGCCAACAUAUCCAAAGGAAUGGUACUCAAAGCUGGCUGCUCUCACCCCACAACACUCUUUAGCUUGGGAUGCUGGCACCGGCAAUGGCCAAGCUGCUCUUGGUAAAAUCCUUUGAAAUACCUUCACACAUGCUGCAGCCUCUGUUGAAGCAUCAGCAGUAACAGGAGGAGCAACUUCCACAUCAUAUUCGUAGUCACUGUCUACAUCCUGCAGUAAAAUUCAACUUCACUCAGAAAUAAGAAAAUGUAUUUGGUGAACAUCAAUAACUGUAAGUAUUUACAGAUCUUUUACAGGCAAUAUACUUCAUCAGGAUCAGAUCUUUUACAUUUAUAUGGCAUGCACUAAACUCUGGGACCAGAAACUUCAGCAAGAUUGAUAGAUCUCCAUGAACAUCAUUAUAUUCCAAGUUUCUCUAUGGAAGCGGACAGAAUUACAAAUUUAUCAGGAAAACUCUUGUGUGAGAAAUACAGUUAUAUCAUUUGGAAUUUUGGAUUCAAAACAAAUAGGUUAAGAACAAAGCAUCACCAAAAUUCAAAACGCCCAAAAUCAAACACCAUCGAACAAUUACUAAGCACCAAGUCACAAAAUAUACCAUGUCUAUCUCUCUCCUGCUCCGACCCCCCAAACAAACAUCAUAAGAUCAUGUGAUCAAACUAAAAUCAAGAAUUGCUGGGGGAACACACCAGGAACAUUAUAACAUUAUAAACACACCAGAAUUGCUUGUUAGAAUUUAUCAUUUAAAUUCUAACAAACAGGCUGAGAAAAAAAUAAUACAUCAUGUUUACUAAAAAAUAGAAAUGUCCUCAUCUGUCAAAAGCCUCACCAAAAUCGAAAACCAUCGAACAAUUACUAAGCACCAAGUCACAAAUAUACCAAGAAUCAUUAUUUGAUCACAUAAACUCAUGUAACCUAUAUAUACCAAAACAAACAAAAAUUCAAUAACGAAAGAAACAAUAGAGAACUGCUGGGGGGAACACACACCAUAAGAGCUUCUCCGUCGUCAAAUUUGUCAGGCAAAGGCUCCCUAUAAGCCAGAUGUCGCCAAAGCAUCUGAUACUCUCUAGCAUUUGUGAUCCCAGUCGUAGUCUUGGCCACCAACUCAUCAUAGUUGAUCUUCUCCGACUGCAUCAAGUGUGCCACUUCCUGCAGCAAUGCCAGUAUCGUCGCCGCCGAGUACCUGCCAAACCAAAACCCAUUAAAACCCCAAGAAAUCCAAAACCCGUAUACCAAG
RNA transcript from Fragaria vesca subsp. vesca, 1342 nucleotides. It is a transcript of the gene named putative methyltransferase DDB_G0268948-like, with no coding region annotated. The record is from RefSeq and is a predicted model, not a curated record. Lineage: Eukaryota; Viridiplantae; Streptophyta; Magnoliopsida; Rosales; Rosaceae. The transcript is spliced from 3 exons.